Gorilla gorilla gorilla (western lowland gorilla) is the source of this 317-nucleotide unclassified non-coding RNA. Its record names the gene 7SK. It matches the Rfam family "7SK RNA". Rfam says of the family: 7SK was discovered as an abundant small nuclear RNA in the mid-70s but a possible function has only recently been suggested. The record is from Ensembl. Lineage: Eukaryota; Metazoa; Chordata; Mammalia; Primates; Hominidae.
GGAUGUGAGGGCAAUCUGGCUGCGACAUUUGUCACCCCAUUGACCGCCAGGGUUGAUACGGCUGAUCUGGCUGGCUAGGCCGGUGUCCCCUUCCUCCCUCACCGCUCCACGUGCGUCCCUCCCAAAGCUGCGUGCUCUGUCAAAGAGGACGAUCAUCCCUGAUAGAGGAGAACCAGUCUUUGGUCAAGGGUACACGAGUAGCUGUGCUCCCCUGCUAGAACCUUCAAACAAGCUCUCAAGGUCCAUGUCCCUGCGAAGGAAAUGAACUCAUCCUUUUUUAUGGCUGCAUAGUAUUCCAUGGUCUAUAUGUGCCACAU